GCAGAUAGUGCAGCUGCCCGGAGCCAGGGAUGCCUGAGCAGGAGCGGCCGAGUUGCCGGUGACUUUAUGAAGCACUUUCCACCUUCCUCGGGCACCAAAACAGGGAUUCUGCACCUGCUUCAGGGACAGUCUGGCACAGCCUCUGCUCUGCCUCCGGGGACGAGGACCUAGAGCAAAUAACCAUUUUCAAAUUGGAUCUUGGAAAACUUACCAACAAGUCCAUGAAGGAAACUGAAGGCAAAUUGAUCUGUAUCUUCAAUGGCAAGUCCACAGAAGUUGAGGAAACAUGUUAUGUCUCCAAAUAUGGCAAGAACAGGGCCGGGACUCUGGCAGAGAAGUGGACAGGGGUCCAGGCGUGUUCUGCUGUGUGACGAGCAGGCGGACUUCGUAGCUGUCGCAGACCUCGGAAACGGGCUUUGCGCGAGGCCAGACAAGGAUCCAGACACUUUGUGUUUCGUGGACAUCUCACUUCUCAUUUUCCAUAGACUUGGAAUAUCUGUUUUAUUUUUUAAGAAUCCAUUUAUCUAUAUGUUGGUGUAUAUAGAUUGGAUUGAGGGUAGAAGAAGAAAAGCCGUAGAUAAUGAAAUUAAAGUAGUAUAAUAAUGUAUUGCCCAUAUAUCAAUAUUGGUAACAAGUAUUGGUAAAUUCCUCAUCAUAUGUUAAGUAUCUCUCACAUAAAUCCGACAGAACCUGAACUUUGUUACAUUUGUGUAGGAUAUGCAUUCAAUAACAGGAAGAUAUAUUGAAAAAAAUACAAUGUUAAGGUCUGAUGUAUAUUUCUACAGGUAAAUCUUUCUUCUAUAGUCACAUCUUGUUUUGCCCUUAUCCAUUUCAAAUAUUGAAAAAUAAGCUAUUUCUUUGAAGAAAAGGAGGAGAGAGAGAAGGAAGGAGAAAUAGCCAUAGGUUUAAGAGUUAGAUAAACUUAUUUAUUGCAAAGUAUAAAGCUUUCAAUACAUAGUCCCAGAGAAAAAUAAUGACAAAAAUCUAUUAAGCAUCCUUGUUCUUCAGAAAAAAAAAAAAAAGAUUGGACAUUUAUGUUUUAUGACAUUUUUAGAUCAAAUGUAUUUGCCAGUGGCACUCUGGGAGACGGGAGGGAAGGGCCAGGUGGGGACGUUGACUUGCCACGCGUGCUCGUGUGAUAACACUGAUCCUACGGAAAUGGGAGUUCUAGAUUCUUGAAUGAGUUUGUUAAAAAACAAAAAAAAUGAAGAGAGAAAAACAGAGUAGGCAGUAAGAAUGUAUUGUUGUCAUGAAACAUUGUAAGUAUGUGUGUUGCAAUGUAUUGUUACAUUGUUGUAAUGAGACAUUAUAAAGCUCUAGGUGACAUCUCUGAACUCAAGCAACAUAAAAAUAAACUCAUAAAAUGAAUCAAAAAAUAGAGCAACAGAGCAAUAAUUACAGUCUAAAGUGUUGAGAAGAGACUUUUAGCUUGACCCAUGAACUUCACUGAGCACCCGACAGAGGAGGAAGUGAUGAUUUGACGUAGCCCCAGAUGACGCAGUAACUCCUGGCUCUGUCUUUACAUUUUCAUGGUAUUUUAGGCAAGUCACUUACAUUUUCUAAGUCACCAUUUCCUCUUUUACAAACUAUAGUGACUCAAUUAGACCAAGUAGUGAAAAUUAAAAAAAAAGAAAACUAGAAAUUUGAGUACUAAUAUAUUGUGAUAGGUAGCAUCAUCUUAGGUAGAAUAUGUUUUACAAUAAAAUGAAUAGAAUUAGGUUGAAUA
Long non-coding RNA from Lemur catta (Ring-tailed lemur), 1726 nucleotides. RefSeq lists it as uncharacterized. Lineage: Eukaryota; Metazoa; Chordata; Mammalia; Primates; Lemuridae. The transcript is spliced from 3 exons. The record is from RefSeq and is a predicted model, not a curated record.